CAUCUAUUAGCUUAAUGGUAAGGCGGUGUAUUAAUUUAAUAUAUAAAUUACAGUUCGAAUCUGUAAUAGGUGG
This 73-nucleotide transfer RNA is filed under the name Diaporthe nobilis. Its description in RNAcentral is "tRNA-Asn". It matches the Rfam family "tRNA". From Rfam's summary of the family: Transfer RNA (tRNA) molecules are approximately 80 nucleotides in length. Their secondary structure includes four short double-helical elements and three loops (D, anti-codon, and T loops). The record is from RNAcentral. Lineage: Eukaryota; Fungi; Ascomycota; Sordariomycetes; Diaporthales; Diaporthaceae.